This 72-nucleotide transfer RNA is filed under the name Cavia porcellus (domestic guinea pig). It matches the Rfam family "tRNA". Rfam says of the family: Transfer RNA (tRNA) molecules are approximately 80 nucleotides in length. The record is from Rfam by way of RNAcentral. Lineage: Eukaryota; Metazoa; Chordata; Mammalia; Rodentia; Caviidae.
GGGGAUAUAUCUCAGUGACCUGGUGCCUGCCUGGCAAGCAUGAGGUCCUGAGUUUGAUUCCCAGUAUCCCUC